Molecule: long non-coding RNA, 3411 nt
Organism: Canis lupus familiaris (dog)
Lineage: Eukaryota; Metazoa; Chordata; Mammalia; Carnivora; Canidae
Exons: 2
Source: RefSeq, a predicted model, not a curated record
UCCUGAGUUCUGAAGUAGCCAAACUUAAAUAUCAGCUCUGAUCCAACUUGAGCUUCUCUACAACAUAAACCUGAGUUGUAGGAAACAGCGCCCCCUCAUCACCGUGAAAUCCUUAGACUCGCUUCUAGGGGAAGAAAAAACCAACCCACAUCUCCGUCUGUCAACCACGGAUUAGCCCGUGUUCUCCCUCCCUGCUACACCCUACAGUCCUGCCAUCUCUACCCAAUCCGCUCCUUCCUGGGCCUUCCGCGGACCCCGUCCUGGCCUCACCCACCCCCGCCCAGGGCCCCUGUCCAUGCAGAGCACACCCUUGCCCCCCUUGCUGUUCCUCCCCCAGGACGUGGCAACUCCCCUGGGAAUGCUUCUCGAAUGGCUCAGGCAGACGGAGGUAACUUUUUGUCACCACACUCAGCAUCUCCUUUUGUAGCCUUUGUCCUUUGGCGGGGAGGACGGCUGAAGUGACUUCCGAAAACCGAAGAAAAGACACAAGCCCCUGAGACUUGUGACCCCUUGGGAAAGUCCUGCCUCAGGACUUCAGGGCAGGCAGACCUGUCUCAAAGGGACACAUCUGGCCAAGACUCAACCCAAAUCACAAGGGCUGGAGAGGAAAGGCUCUCUGCAGAGAUGGGCUCCCGCACUUGCCCCCAGCCACACUGGCUCUUUGUUCCGGGAGGUUCUCACCCCCAUCUCCUGCCUGUGACAGACCCUCUGCCCAGGCGCACUGAGGGAUCCUGACCACACAGGCCGCCCUGACACUUGGGUCCUUGUCCUAUGUCCAGCAUGAACAGGACAGCAGGAAAAUCCCAGAAUUGGAAUUGGGAGUUCCUCCUCAGCAGAGGAAUGGGACAGAGCAUUCUAAACCCGGGGAGUGGUGCCACACAGAAAACUCCCGUCUCACAGGGAAGGCAGGAGGGCAGGGAGCUGUCUCCACAGAGCUCUACCAUGGUGCCCACGCUCUGACGUGCAGCCUUCUGGCACGCCUGCCUCCCCGCAAGACUGUGGGCUCCUGGGGACAGGGACCAUGUCUUAUUCACCUUUGUUUCCCUGCGCCCAGCACGUGCAGGUGUUCAAUGAAUAAAAGCAAGGAGCGGCCCUGGGAGAGAGGUCCACUCAGGAGCCAGUGAGGGCGGGACCUAGGGAGGACGGACUUCUCUAAUCAAAUCUCCACCAUCAACUGGGAUUGAGUUGGAGCUCCCCAUUUAAGAUGCAAUGGGGAUUUGGGGGGUGCGGCCACACAACCGGGUCCGCCCAGCCCAUCAUGAAGACAGGCUACCUCGGACACUGAGGAGAGGGAACUCAGCUUCUGAUAGUCACCGGGACCAGACUCUCACUUCCUGUACUCUUGCCUGAGCCCUUCCCACAGACCAAGGCCUGUUUCAGCACACUUCUGCUGGGAAGCCUACCUGAGCUCCCCUGCACCACUAGUCUCUGAUGGCCUAUAUCUGGCCUCCUGGAGCCUGGGGCCCAGAUGGCCCACUCAGGGGUGGGGACAGGACAAAUGUCAGGAAACAAACCAAUCAAAAUCAGCAAGUUAAGUCACCAAGGAAUUGGGGCACAUGUCUGCUUGUUGCCUUUUGCAUGCACUCUUCCUGGAAAUGUAACCAGUUCUUCUGGUGCCAUAGAUGUGUCCGGGAAGGGAACGGAGAGUGGGCUGGGUGCUAAGUGUAAGCAAGGGAAGCUUAUCUUAACUGGAUAUCCUUCAUAACAUUUGGGUUUUUACCAUAUGCAUGCAAUGCUUUUUUUUUUUUUUUUCAAAGUCAAAACUAUAGUAUCAAACCACAGAGAAAAUCACAAAUUCCAAAAUGCAGACGUCCUCGGGGGCCAUAGUCACAGACCGGGUCCAGGUUAGAAACAACUGAGGUUCCAACAAGAUCAAAACAAAGCGGAUGACAAUGAUUACUGAACGGAAGACUGUAAAUCUCUCCUCCAACAAGAAAUGAAAUGGAGAAUACCGUCUUGCUCAAAUGGGUUCCCAGGUCUUUUACACAAAUGUCAGCGACUCCAUAUCCUGCUCCAGGACCUGGGUCUUGGCUGAAGCCAUACUUAGCUUCUUUCUGAUGCAGUGUCUCAGACCUAAAGGAGAAAAGCAGAUGCAUUCAGUUUUGCAUCUGGUUGUUUUUCUACAUUGCUCCUGAUUGGAUAGCAAACUGAAGUCUUACGUUUGGAUGCUCUUUCACAACCUAACGAGAAAAACACUGUUGGAGCUGCUAAGCGCCCACCACAAUUCUGUGUGUGAAGGUGAUGGGCCCUCCCCGCAUCACCAGCACCAGAUAGCUGUCAGGAUCUUCAGGGCAGCCCCCUGGCAUUCUGGGCACUCAGAAAAGAACUUGGCACAACGUCAGCUCUCCAUCAAAAAGUCAAUUGGAUGAUGCGCUAUCUAGGCCACGCAGCAGGGUCAGCCCAGAGGUAAUGAGUGACACCCACUCCCCUGGCCCAGUACAACCUGCAAAUCCUAGCUCGGCAAACCCACGUUCCAGGCAGGCAGGUGGGAGGAGAACAGUCGGGACCUGAGAUGCGGAGGCUCUGAACACUCCACCCACGGCUACCAGCACAUGCUCUAUCUUUCCGGAGCCUAAGUCCAAAACUAGCUUUCUGGUACACAUUGGAAUUUGAAGAAAAUUAAACAUUCUUCCAUCUUCAAAAGAGUUUGUUUUAGAGCACGAGCUUCUAGAAAGCAGAUUUUCCUUUCUGCAUAACAGCAAGCAUAGCACUUUUAUUCAUAAAUAUUAUUUGAUAAGGAUGAUACUUUACAAAAUGAACAAAUACUUCCUGUUUUAGGAAGUAACCCUUAGAACGAGAACUCUGGGUGUCAGAGGAUUCUUUAUUACCUCAGUAGAGGGUGGUUAAUGUGCUUCCAGUGCAUAAUCCUGAAAGAAGAACCCUUUUUCAUAAUGGUAAAAUCAGUAUCCUCUCAAGACUGUAUACAGUAUUUUAAUUUUAGAUCUAAGUUUGUUUGCUUGGGGAAGCUCAAAGAAACUUAAUCAUUUCCCUAUUUUUCCCAUUCAGUGUUUGAAAUCCCAUCUAAAUCUGUAGAAGGUUUGUAAAAAGCUUAUUAGGACCUCUCAAAAAAUCUUACCCCAUUUUCAAACAUUUCUAUUAGAAAACAUUUCCUUGAAGCCAAUCCAGUUCUUUGUCUUUCGAAUACUGUUUGCUACCCAAAACUCCCCAAGACUCAGUACCAGAUGCUAGCAUCUAAACUCUCCUUCUGCUUUGUGCCCUACACAAGGGCCAUGUUCCAAACCCUACAGAUGAUCUCUGCUGACGUCAUUGGCACAUUUUUGAGUGAGGAAUCUGACCUCCGCCUUCUGUAAAGAAUGUCUGUUGGGGUUAAGCAUGGGCCCUGGGGCUCUUAGCCUCUUGCAUUCUGAAUUUAAAUGGAAGAUGUUGUAUUAAAAAUAUUUUAAAAUGUGA